UGUUCCACCCACAGUUGCUCUAAAAUCGCUGCAGCUGCCUCUAGUUGCCUCCAGAUGGCGACCUAGUGCCCAUUCUCAGCUCAGAGACCCGCCGGUUGCCAGCUGCUGGGCUGAAAGAGCUCGGAGCGCCAGGGCUUAACCCGGCACAGCUCUGAGGUGGGUUUCUGGAGGAUUCGGGGAGACAGCUGCAACAAGGCACCACUCACUGCACAGUAUAAGUAUUUUCAUUUCUGAGAGCAAAGCGAAGAACUUAAGCGGGCGGCACUUGGAGUGUAAAUUGCUUUGUAGUGUUUAAAAGCAGCACGGAUCGUGGGCAGCCGAGCUGUAACAAAUCAGCAGGACUUCCAGUGAAUUCUUAACCAAGAUGUGUUUUUUCAGUCUCCAUUAAGUCCUAAUUCUAGGGACUUGAGAGCUAUAGAGAACCAUAAGCAUCCACAGGCUACUGCUCUCUUAGCCCUGGUGGUUCACAGAGGCGAUCUGUCAGGAACGUCUGAGAAAUUUCAUGAACACCAAACCAGCACUCCAAACAAUUUUAAGCAAUAAUCCUAGAAAAAGACAAUGAAAGUCACAACUCCAUGAGGCCCAACAGAGGGAAGCCACCAGGCAAGGUUUGAAAGCUCCACUCAUUUCCAGGGUAUUUACAUCAGUAACUCACCUAGCCCUACUUCAUCUGGAACUCUAGCAGAAUGUUGAACAAAAGAGAGAUCAGUGGAAAGGAAAAAGAAAGGAGAAGUACGAAGAAGACAGACUGUUGCCAGGGAAAGUAAAAUGUUCAUUUUACUCAAAGGCUUCUUUGCUGGGACAGAACACUUUUGGAGGCCCGGGUGAGACCUCUCCACCACCGUGGGUUGGUGUCCCACUAUGUCUCCUGGUGUGAGCAGCAGGGUGUAGGGGAGGUGCCCCCUGAGAAGUUCCAGGGCCCCACAUCCCAGAUGCUGGUGGGAGGGACAUGGAAGGACCACCAAUCAAGACAAAAAUUUUGGAGUCCUCAGGAAUCCUCCACUUGAAGGUGGCUGGGAUCCCCAGCUGGAUUCAUCACACCUGAGUGACGGCCUCUCCAGAACUGUGGACUCUUGAGAUAGAACCUCAGCCACUUAAGACUUAAAAGACUAAAAUGAUUCUCCUCCUUCUGUUCUUGAUUUGCCCCUGUUACUGUUUGGACAUUUGCCUAGGCUCAGGCCAUGGGUUUAAGUUCCUUCUGUCUUCUUUUUUUUUUUUGUACCGGGGAUCAAACUCAGGAUGUUGUGCUUGUGAAGCAGGUGAAGGUACCACUGAGCUAAAUCCCUGGCCCUCCUUCUGUCUUCUAAGGAGAAUGGUUUUAAAAAAAAAAAAUGUUUAAUUGGUCCCCAUGGCUCACAGCAUUGAUUUCUUUUAUUGCAGGCCCUCUUGUUCUUAUCCUGCUUGGGCUCAUGAUACCCUUAUAUAUAAUCAACCGCUUAGUUGAGUUUGUACAAGAUUGUAUCUCCUCUGUAAAGUUAAUCGUGUUAAGGUCUUCUUAUAACCUCCUUGAAACUGAUGAAGAGUCAACAGUUUCACUCGAUUUCCAAAGAAAGUGGGGAAUGAAGUUAGUAAGUUAACAAGAAACCCCCCUCCAAAUAGCCUGUGCCUGAACUUUACCCCUUUUCCUCUCCAGAUUGUUCAAAGUGGUUAAUUAACCAGCACCUAACUUGUCUUGUGGUUAAGAACAAAGGACAGGACAUGUUAUACUUAGCCAUAAUCAUAGAGAUAGAAAUUUCCUGCCAGAUCCCCCAAAUUGAAUUUUAAUCUAACCUGCAACCUGCUUCUGUACCCCUGUGCUUGCUCAAAGAGGAGAUAGUGACAUUUCAUUGUGUGAUUUUUCCCUUUAAAAACUGGGUUUACUGCUUGAUUGGUAUGAAGAAAAUGGGAGCUUAACCUCCUCCUUUGUCACUGGGUAAUUAAAGGAAUUUUAAUGUGGACAUUUUCCUGGUGUGGUCUUUUUUGCUGGGACAGCUAUAACACUGUCACAUUAGUGAUUAAGUUUCGAUUUGUGAAUGUUGAAGAGGCACGAAAUGUAACUGGACAGGGUCCUAGGAGGUUUACAAAUGAUGAUCCCCACCUAUCUGUGGAGUUAUUGCAGGUUUGCUGACUCCUAUCAUGGAAAAAGAAUUUUCAGG
Heterocephalus glaber (naked mole-rat) is the source of this 2135-nucleotide long non-coding RNA. The record is from Ensembl. NCBI's taxonomy places the organism in Eukaryota, Metazoa, Chordata, Mammalia, Rodentia, Bathyergidae.